UUAAGUUCAGCGGGUAUCCCUACCUGAUCCGAGGUCAAAAUUGGAGUGAGGCUUGCUGGACGCCAGCGUGCCAGGCAGGAGACGCGAAUGUGCUGCGCUCGAAGCCGGUAUGUAGGCCGCCAAUGAUUUCAAGGCGAGUCCGCGCCAGAAGGCGGGGACAAGCGCCCAACACCAAGCAGAGCUUGAGGGUUUAAAUGACG
RNAcentral lists this unclassified non-coding RNA (200 nucleotides) under Lepidosphaeria sp. RNAcentral describes it as "partial internal transcribed spacer 2". Lineage: Eukaryota; Fungi; Ascomycota; Dothideomycetes; Pleosporales; Testudinaceae. The record is from RNAcentral.